This 394-nucleotide long non-coding RNA is filed under the name Bos taurus (domestic cattle). Its description in RNAcentral is "long non-coding RNA NONBTAT024738". Lineage: Eukaryota; Metazoa; Chordata; Mammalia; Artiodactyla; Bovidae. The record is from RNAcentral.
CUCAAAUCUCUUAGCACAUUGCUUAGGAUUAAGGAUCCAAAAAUGCUAUCUAGAGAGUUGCUAGUGGUGUUGAACAAUGCAAGUUUUUAUUUAAAAGAGCUCUGCACUGCCAUUUAUGAAAGCCUCUUUAUGAUGUUUGUUUUGUUGUCAUUUUUGUUCUUUACACCAAGAAAUUGUAUGUACAAAUAUGCAGAGAACAUAUAUUGCCUCUGCUUUUAUCAGGGCGCUCACCCCUGGUACUUCGUAUAUAAAAUGUAUUAAAACUGGGAUUUGUUACCAGUUGCUGUAUUUUGUAUAUAGAAUUUUUAUAAAUUGUAUGAUUCUUAUUUUCAAGAGAAUUUAUGAACAUUGUAGAAAUGUAUAAAUGCAUUUCCAAACUGCCUUAAACAUUGUA